CGUGUGCUUACAAGUAGUCAGAGCCCGUUAAUGGGUGAUGGCGUGCCUUUUGUAGAAUGAACCGGCGAGUUACGAUUUGAUGCAAGGUUAAGCAGUAAAUGUGGAGCCGUAGCGAAAGCGAGUCUGAAUAGGGCGUUUAGUAUUUGGUCGUAGACCCGAAACCAGGUGAUCUACCCUUGGUCAGGUUGAAGUUCAGGUAACACUGAAUGGAGGACCGAACCGACUUACGUUGAAAAGUGAGCGGAUGAACUGAGGGUAGCGGAGAAAUUCCAAUCGAACCUGGAGAUAGCUGGUUCUCUCCGAAAUAGCUUUAGGGCUAGCCUCAAGUGAUGAUUAUUGGAGGUA
Molecule: ribosomal RNA, 345 nt
Filed under: Staphylococcus aureus
Lineage: Bacteria; Bacillati; Bacillota; Bacilli; Caryophanales; Staphylococcaceae
Description: partial 23S ribosomal RNA
Rfam family: Bacterial large subunit ribosomal RNA
Source: RNAcentral